RNAcentral lists this ribosomal RNA (508 nucleotides) under uncultured bacterium. Its description in RNAcentral is "bacterial SSU rRNA". It matches the Rfam family "Bacterial small subunit ribosomal RNA", at positions 8 to 509 of the family's 1533-position model. The record is from RNAcentral.
AGAGUUUGAUCCUGGCUCAGAUUGAACGCUGGCGGCAUGCCUUACACAUGCAAGUCGAACGGCAGCACGGGAGCUUGCUCCUGGUGGCGAGUGGCGAACGGGUGAGUAAUAUAUCGGAACGUACCCUAGAGUGGGGGAUAACGCAGCGAAAGUUGCGCUAAUACCGCAUACGAUCUACGGAUGAAAGUGGGGGAUCGCAAGACCUCAUGCUCAUGGAGCGGCCGAUAUCUGAUUAGCUAGUUGGUAGGGUAAAAGCCUACCAAGGCUUCGAUCAGUAGCUGGUCUGAGAGGACGACCAGCCACACUGGAACUGAGACACGGUCCAGACUCCUACGGGAGGCAGCAGUGGGGAAUUUUGGACAAUGGGCGCAAGCCUGAUCCAGCAAUGCCGCGUGAGUGAAGAAGGCCUUCGGGUUGUAAAGCUCUUUUGUCAGGGAAGAAACGGUGGACUCUAAUACAGAUCACUAAUGACGGUACCUGAAGAAUAAGCACCGGCUAACUACGUGCC